RNAcentral lists this ribosomal RNA (497 nucleotides) under uncultured bacterium. Its description in RNAcentral is "partial 16S ribosomal RNA". It matches the Rfam family "Bacterial small subunit ribosomal RNA", at positions 28 to 507 of the family's 1533-position model. The record is from RNAcentral.
GAUGAACGCUGGCGGCGUGCCUAAUACAUGCAAGUCGAGCGAACGGACGAGAAGGUUUCUUUUCUGAUGUUAGCGGCGGAAGGGUGAGUAACACGUGGAGAACCUACCUAUAAAACUGGGAUAACUUCGGGAAACCGGAGCGAAUACCGGGUAAUAUUUUGAACCGCAUGGUUCAUAAGUGAAAGACGGUCUUGCUGUCACUUAUAGAUGGAUCCGCGCUGCAUUAGCUAGUUGGUAAUGUAACGGCUUACCAAGGCAACGAUGCAUAGCCGACCUGCGAGGGUGAUCGGAGACACUGGAACUGAGACACGGUCCAGACUCCUACGGGAGGCAGAAGUCGGGAAUCUUCCGCAAUGGGCGAAAGCCUGACGGAGCAACGCCGCGUGAGUGAUGAAGGUCUUCGGAUCGUAAAAUUCUGUAAUUAGGGAAGAACAUAUGUGUAAGUAACUGUGCACAUCUUGACGGUACCUAACGAGAAAGCCACGGCUAACUACGUG